UACGUAGGGUGCGAGCGUUGUCCGGAAUUACUGGGCGUAAAGAGCUCGUAGGUGGUUUGUCGCGUUGUCCGUGAAAACUCACAACUCAAUUGUGGGCGUGCGGGCGAUACGGGCAGACUGGAGUACUGCAGGGGAGACUGGAAUUCCUGGUGUAGCGGUGGAAUGCGCAGAUAUCAGGAGGAACACCGGUGGCGAAGGCGGGUCUCUGGGCAGUAACUGACGCUGAGGCGCGAAAGCCGGGGGAGCGAACGGG
Molecule: ribosomal RNA, 253 nt
Filed under: uncultured bacterium
Lineage: Bacteria
Description: partial 16S ribosomal RNA
Rfam family: Bacterial small subunit ribosomal RNA
Source: RNAcentral